This 227-nucleotide ribosomal RNA is filed under the name uncultured bacterium. RNAcentral's name for it is "partial 16S ribosomal RNA". It matches the Rfam family "Bacterial small subunit ribosomal RNA", at positions 328 to 538 of the family's 1533-position model. The record is from RNAcentral.
ACGCUCGACACCUACGGGAGGUAGCAGUAGGGAAUCUUCCACAAUGGGCGCAAGCCUGAUGGAGCAACACCGCGUGAGUGAAGAAGGGUUUCGGCUCGUAAAGCUCUGUUGUUGGAGAAGAACGUGCGUGAGAGUAACUGUUCACGCAGUGACGGUAUCCAACCAGAAAGUCACGGCUAACUACGUGCCAGUAGCCGCGGUAAGUCUGAGCGGGCGUGGCGAAGGCG